Small nucleolar RNA from Rhea pennata, 133 nucleotides. The record is from RefSeq and is a predicted model, not a curated record. Lineage: Eukaryota; Metazoa; Chordata; Aves; Rheiformes; Rheidae.
CAGGCCCUGAAUGAAGGCCGUCGGCUUGGCGUAGCCGUUGGUUUCAAGCAGGAGCCCAGAGGAAGGACUUCUCCCGGUCUGUUGGUGUUCCCAUCUGAAAAUGGAACGGCCAAUUCGUGUGGGAGCAACAAGG